UGCCCCGUGGCUGAGUUGGUUACAGCGUCCGACUGUUACGGUCGCAAUCGGAAGGUCGUGAGUUCGAGCCUCACCGGGGCAG
RNAcentral lists this transfer RNA (82 nucleotides) under Cubamyces lactineus. RNAcentral's name for it is "Leiotrametes lactinea tRNA-Asn". It matches the Rfam family "tRNA". Rfam says of the family: Transfer RNA (tRNA) molecules are approximately 80 nucleotides in length. Their secondary structure includes four short double-helical elements and three loops (D, anti-codon, and T loops). The record is from RNAcentral. Lineage: Eukaryota; Fungi; Basidiomycota; Agaricomycetes; Polyporales; Polyporaceae. RNAcentral also lists the same sequence under 2 other names.